UCAGGUCGACGUGUUUCACAGAACAAAUAAAGGAACGAACUUCUGGGUAAUAGUUUUUCCGUACAUACACCGGGAAUCAUCGUACGGCAUGGGAUCAUUAGCUGUUCGCGGUCAACGUCUCUGGUCUCCCCUCGCACUCGGUUUCAAAGCCGCAGAAACUCGUCUAUUCCCGUGUCGACGAUUUUCCACGGUUCUGGUGUGCUUUUUCGUCCCUAUAUGUGUCGACGGGUCGACGAACGGCACACGGAUACGGCCCUGGCCAGCCCGCAAACAGCAUUUUUCCACGGCGACUCGGUUUACGCUCGCGGUUAAAAAGAAUCCGCUCCGUGUUGGUCGCGCGUCGCCACCCGAGUACCAACAGAAGAAAUAGCAGAGACUAAAGACGGGCAGAACGAGCAAGGGAGCCGCUAUAGCGGGCAAAAAUCAAGAGAUACCGAGCCAAGUUCCGGGAAACGGUUAUAUCGUAUCGAUCGUAAAGUACGAGAUGAUUAGGAAGCACGCGUAAUAACCGUGAAUAUGUUAAUACUCUCUAACGUCGUUUAAAAUGGAUGGAAGAUUGAACAUUUCAGUCGGAGCUGUCCGUCGAGUAUUUUAAAAAGUAAAAAUUACUUUAAACAAGGUUUCUCUUUGUUUAAAGAAUCGAAGCGACGAAAGACGCAUGGUGCAUGCUAGUAUGUAAAUAUUUUGCCUGAUUAAAAAUGCAAAUAUAAACCGAUAACAUGUAUUUGGUACUGUAUGGAACAAAGAUUAUUUUAAAUUUCUUUGAUUCUCUUUAUUCAUUUUCUUUUUUUCUUUUCUUUAGUCGGUGGUAAUGGAUAUAUAGUAACUGAGAGUGCGUAAGCAAUUUCUGUAUAAUAUAUAGAAUUGCAGGGACAAGGACACAUGUGAAUUAAUCGCAUAUGUUGGAUAUUUCAAGAAGAAAAGAUUAAUCAAGUGCUAUGCAGUCUUCUCGUAUCAAAUAAUCAAAAGUGUGAUUGCAAGAUACUAUAUUGUAAUAUAUAUAGUAUCUAUCUAGUAUAGCAUCUAUCAAUAUAGUAGAUUGUGAUUGCAAGUAUAGUAUAGAUAUUUUCUAUGAUUAAAAGUACUAUCUCGAAGAUAGUAAGAAAGAUUGAAUAUUUUAUCGAGUUAAAAUUCUUUCAACUUUGUUUGGUUUUUGUUUUACUUUCAGAACACCUUAGCUGAUAACGAGGAACGUGUCGUGACUAGAGACGUGCAAAUAUCCUCUACGAUAGAAAUCAAAAUCGAGUAUGUCAUAAUUGAAGACAUGAGAAUAUUUUUUACGAUUACACAACCACAACUUGAUGGCAAGGAACGUGCGAUAACAACAGACGCUGAAACAUGUUCCAUGAUGAAAAAUAUAAGUUAAUCAAGCGAAUUCCAUAUCUUAAGAUUACACAAAACUCAUUAAGCUUGUCUGGUUUUCAUUCUUUCCACAGAGUAGUUGAUGAUAACAACAAAAGACGCAUGGUAAUCAUUUUUGUACAAUUAAAAGCGCAAAGAUCGCCGGUUACAGCCAAUGGCAUAGAUAUUUUUGGCAUAAAAUUAACUAGUUUACAGAUACUUGUUCGUUUGUUCGAACUUGUUUAUCCUCGUCUAAUUUGCAUUUUGUGAUAAGGAAUCGCUGGAUGUAUUUUAUUCUUUGCAGCUUUUUCCCGAGUGCGAGCCUCGAGUCAGCUGAUUGGCAGAAUCGCUAAUUAUUCUUUAAAAUAGACGGGGAUCUUUGGAAUUCCGAUUAAUCCAUGACCUCGGUUACUGGAAACGAGCUUCAACGUGCUAUAAUAAACUUUAAUAUUAGAACUACGAGAAUUAUGAACAUGUCUAAUCAAUAAUUUUUCAUAGGAAUUUUAUAAAUAUAGAGCGGUACAUUUUUGAGAAUUUUAUGCAAAAUAUUGUCCCGUUUCGCAUUAUAUAUAUCUUUUCAAAAUUUUAUACCUUUAAAAAGAUACGUAUUUAGGGAAUUUUUGCGACGUUUUAUAAAACCCACGGAUGAAAUGUUAUUCUUCAUUUUACAUUAUAGUAUCUCUCUACACGUACUUCUCAUUUUAAUUCUUUCAUACUGUCAGCCGUAAGUAUUAGGACGUGGUUUUAGUACAAAUUGAAUAUUUUUUCACUCUUUUCGUUUUGUAGUUUCCUUUUUUUUAUUAUAAAUUCGUCAUUUCAUUCGCGUCAUAUGACGAAUUAAAAAUCAUAAUGGUGUAUAUAAUAUAAAAUUUUCAGCACUUUAAUUUAAAUAAUUAGACAAUGAAAUAUAUGUGUAUAUCUCAAUCUUGAGAAGUA
Long non-coding RNA from Bombus terrestris (buff-tailed bumblebee), 2277 nucleotides. RefSeq lists it as uncharacterized. NCBI's taxonomy places the organism in Eukaryota, Metazoa, Arthropoda, Insecta, Hymenoptera, Apidae. The transcript has 4 exons. The record is from RefSeq and is a predicted model, not a curated record.